Molecule: long non-coding RNA, 2795 nt
Organism: Bos grunniens (domestic yak)
Lineage: Eukaryota; Metazoa; Chordata; Mammalia; Artiodactyla; Bovidae
Source: Ensembl
GGCUUAGAGGAGAUUCUCCAGUCCUCCAGAGUUCACCCCAUCUCUGUCACUUUGGCAGUGGUUAAAAAGGAGGGUUCCUGCCUGGAGACCCUGGCACUCACCCCUCGUGCUCACAGAGGGGACACUGGCAGAGACUGUCCUCCCCAAGGACGUUCCCUCUACCUGGACAGCCAGGUGUCGAGCCCACAGCACUGGCUCCCAGGCCCUCAGGCAGUGCCCCAGGCGGGACACCCAGCAGCACCCAUUCAACACCUCCAGAUUCAUGUCUCCCCUGCUCCCCGAGCAGGUUGGUUCCUUGGGCCGGCUCCUCCAGGGGAACCAGCAGGCAGCCAGGCCAGGCGAGUGUGCGCCUCCCCCAGGGCCAUGCCCAGGGCUAUGCUCACUGCCUGGUGCCCCACAGCCAGCUGGGCUGAAAGCUCUGCUGAGCCAGCCCUACAACCAGCUGUCUGCUCAGCUGUCCACAGGGCAGCCCUGACCAGGUCCAGUUCACCCACAGCUCUUGGUCCAGGAGACACUGGGUGCCGCUAGAGAUGAGGGAAUCCAAGCCCUGCACGCGGGCCUCCCCACCAGGCUUUGCCUUUGAAGGAGAUAACCUACUGUUCACCUGGGCCCUGGCCCGGGAGAGCUCAGAGCUUCAUGGGCUGGGCUGAGGCCCAGCCUGGGCAGCAUGUGUGCCUGUAAGGCCCACGCUCCGUCUUCCCUGAAAGGCCCAAAUAUGCCUGUCACCAGCCCAGACACCCCCACUCCCACCCCCAGGGCAAGGCUGGCUUGAAACACUUAAAUCCUGGGUCCUUGUCACUGUGUUUACAGAAGGAACCACCCAUCCACUGUCAGGCUGGGCUGGGAGCCCAGAUGCAGGUCCCUGAGGAUGCUAAGGGCUUGCAGGAGGGGACUGUGCAGGUCAGCCUGGCAGUGGGCGCCUCCCCAGGGCCAUGCCCAGGGCUAUGCUCACUGCCUGGUGCCCCACAGCCAGCUGGGCUGAAAGCUCUGCUGAGCCAGCCCUACAACCAGCUGUCUGCUCAGCUGUCCACAGGGCAGCCCUGACCAGGUCCAGUUCACCCACAGCUCUUGGUCCAGGAGACACUGGGUGCCGCUAGAGAUGAGGGAAUCCAAGCCCUGCACGCGGGCCUCCCCACCAGGCUUUGCCUUUGAAGGAGAUAACCUACUGUUCACCUGGGCCCUGGCCCGGGAGAGCUCAGAGCUUCAUGGGCUGGGCUGAGGCCCAGCCUGGGCAGCAUGUGUGCCUGUAAGGCCCACGCUCCGUCUUCCCUGAAAGGCCCAAAUAUGCCUGUCACCAGCCCAGACACCCCCCACUCCCACCCCCAGGGCAAAGGCUGGCUUGAAACACUUAAAUCCUGGGUCCUUGUCACUGUGUUUACAGAAGGAACCACCCAUCCACUGUCAGGCUGGGCUGGGAGCCCAGAUGCAGGUCCCUGAGGAUGCUAAGGGCUUGCAGGAGGGGACUGUGCAGGUCAGCCUGGCAGUGGGCCCCGCCUUCCCUAAGCCAUCCAGCAGGAAGGCCUUGGUGCUCAGACUGUGCCUGCCCCUCCCCAGCCUUCCCCGGAGGCAGACCACCAUCUAUCUCUGCUGCCCUGAUGGUGACAGAGACUCUGGUACCUCAAGAAGCCACUUGGCGAUGUACCCCCCAGCAAAGCCCUGACAGCUAGGCAGGCAUGACAUCUCCUCUGCAGGUGACCUAGGAUGGCCAGCAGGGUGGGCAGGGGGCAUGUGUAGGCAUGAGGUAUUUUCCCCAACCUUGACCCUGGACAGAGUGUUAAGAUCCAAUUGACCCCAUCUCCCCUAGUGAAGGCCUCCCUGGGAAGAUAACCCUCAAAGAGAGGUUUGUGCAAAACGAAGUGCUAACCCACAGCAUCGUCACAGCCGGAAGUAACCAGAACUCAUGUCCUCACAGAGCCUGUGUGCCAGGCUCUCACUGGUUCCUCAUUGGAUCCUCAAGGUAACUGUGGGAGGCAGGCAUUAUUAACAGUCCCAUUUUGCAGAUGAGAACACUGAGGCACAGGAGAGUAAGCAACUGGCCUGAAGUCAUGCAAUUGGUAAGUGAUGAAGCAGCUUGGCUUAUGGGCCGCACACCUUGCUCACUCAUCCUGCCUCCCGCACACUCUGGAUGCCGUUUAGCCACACCAGUGAUGGGCACAAAGGUGGUUUCCUGUUUUUCGUUCUUGAGACCAAUGUAAAAGAUAGCUGGCCAGUGUUCCAGGUUUCCCCAGGGGAGGUACUCAGAACGUGAACGGAUGGGUGCGCGUCUCAGCGGACCAGAUAAACCCAGAGUGUCUCUACUCCACUGCCACUUACAGGGGCAGGGGAGGGAGCAUUAACAGGAAGAGAAGAGAAGUGGGCAGAAGAGAAGACAGGGUGGGGAGGAAGAAAGGAAGGGAAUGUGGAUGAAUGGGAGGGGAGGGUGGGAGGAAAGGAGAAAGGAUGGAAGAGAAGAAGGGAGGACGGGAAAUUUGGUGAGAGCCUGGGAGGGAAGGUGGGCGGGGCGGGGGCGGUGGGCGGGGCAAGCUGGUGGUAAAUGGGUAGGUUAUUAGAGAAGUUGCAGAGGCAGUGAUCCUGGCUUGGCCCCACCCACAUACAGACCUAAGGGUUACUUACCUGGAGCCUCACGAGGCUGGGGUGCAGCCCAGGGUCAGCUCCAGCGGUCACCUGCUCCCCUCCUCUCCUUGGCUCCACCAAGUUCCUCGCCAUCCACGCUCACCACCAACCCCGCCUCCAGACUGGGUCCCUCCAGCUGGGCAGAAGCACAGCUGUGGGUGUCCCUCGGACCCUCCUCCCAC